Molecule: ribosomal RNA, 475 nt
Filed under: uncultured bacterium
Lineage: Bacteria
Description: SSU rRNA
Rfam family: Bacterial small subunit ribosomal RNA
Source: RNAcentral
AGGACGAACGCUGGCGGCGUGCUUAACACAUGCAAGUCGAACGGAAAGGCCCUUUCGGGGGUGCUCGAGUGGCGAACGGGUGAGUAACACGUGGGUGAUCUGCCCUGCACUUUGGGAUAAGCCUGGGAAACUGGGUCUAAUACCGAAUACACCUUGCUGGCUGCAUGGCUGGUGGGGAAAGCUUUUGCGGUGUGGGAUGGGCCCGCGGCCUAUCAGCUUGUUGGUGGGGUGAUGGCCUACCAAGGCGACGACGGGUAGCCGGCCUGAGAGGGUGUCCGGCCACACUGGGACUGAGAUACGGCCCAGACUCCUACGGGAGGCAGCAGUGGGGAAUAUUGCACAAUGGGCGCAAGCCUGAUGCAGCGACGCCGCGUGAGGAUGACGGCCUUCGGGUUGUAAACCUCUUUCAGUAUCGACGAGCGCAAGUGACGGUAGGUACAGAAGAAGCACCGGCCAACUACGUGCCAGCAGCCGC